GUGCAGUCUCACUGUCGCGGCCCCAGCCGCAGAGCGCUUCCGCGGGCGCACCGACGCAGGGCCAGAGAUCGGGAGGAUCUCAGCGUGCACUCUCAGUGAUCUGUUAUUACUUUGUCAAUCAAAGCCAAUCAAGCGUCCUCCUGCCCGCCUUUGACCAAGAAGCAAGAGUGUUGAGCCGCAGAACACCAAGUGGAAGAUUAGCAACGGCUGCCACCCCCCUGCAUUUGCCGAUGGAUUAUUAACUUCAGAAAGACACGCUUAGGCAUGUUCUGGAGUAAGAGCCGGUACACUAGGAGUGAACAGGGCAUGAA
RNAcentral lists this long non-coding RNA (311 nucleotides) under Lepisosteus oculatus (spotted gar). RNAcentral describes it as "lncRNA (ENSLOCG00000021419.1)". Lineage: Eukaryota; Metazoa; Chordata; Actinopteri; Semionotiformes; Lepisosteidae. The record is from RNAcentral.